RNAcentral lists this ribosomal RNA (1050 nucleotides) under Triticum aestivum (bread wheat). Its description in RNAcentral is "partial small subunit ribosomal RNA". The record is from RNAcentral. Lineage: Eukaryota; Viridiplantae; Streptophyta; Magnoliopsida; Poales; Poaceae.
AUGUAUGUAAAUCUUCUGGUUGAUGGUGGCACAAGGUGGUUGGUUCUGUUUUUCCCCCUUGUUCAGUUUCUUUACCUUGUGUCCGCUCUUGCUCCCAUAGUCGAAUGGCUGAUGGUGCUUCUGCUGCCCACGGAUCUACUUAAUGUCAUGAGUUACUUGGUCAUAGGAGAGAUGUCAGUUCAAAGAUAUUCCCGAAGACCAUUGACCAAAAAAGUCCGGCUGCAGCACAACAACUUUGAUCUCCUGAUUCUCAGCCAAGAGGGAGUGGACCUUUGGCUUGGAUUUAUGAAGUGCAUUGUCUCAUCUUAUUACAAUCAGAGAAGUUGGGGCGGAACAUUCCAUCUAAAGCACAUGAGAGUGCGCGGAUCUGAAUUCAAGAUCCAACUCAUUCCUGUUUACAAGGGCACUUUUAAGAACCUGCUACUGGACUUGUCGAGGCUGGCGACACUGCUGUCAGGCUUUUAUAGGCCUAACAUUGAGAACCAAGAUCAGCUCCCGCUAUAUUUGAAGCAUUUGAUGGCCGUUAUGACCAGACCGCGCGUGGAUUCAGCUUCAUCUGAGCAGCAGAAAGGAAGAUUCUUGAAGUUUCUGCUCAAUCAUCCUACUCUGAAGUCUGCUGGGCGCCGGAAGGCUCUAAUGAGAGAUAUCCAAGAAGCAAUUGCUGGAAUGGAUGAAGCAGAAUCGAGAAGGGUGAUGCAGUCUGUCGGUAAGAUUCGGAUGACCAGGAGAUCUUGGAGGAGAGAACCUAGGAAAGUUCCGUUAAUGAGAAAGGUCUUGUACUUCGGGCAAGGAGGUAAAACCCACACUAAGCAAGGCUAUGAUACUACCGCAGCUCAGCUGUUAAGAUUCAUCAGAAAUUUUUACGCGCACACUGGAGGCCGUACUACAUAUCUUCCUGGCCGGCACUUGAUGAUUAGCAUGCUUGAAGGAGAAUUGGCCAUGUCACACCUUUUCUCGGAUUUUAUGGCAGAAGCGAUCUACGGGCUUGUCAUGGAUACUGGCAUGCAUGGCUUGAAGGUGCAUGGGAACCGUAUGCUGAUUGAGCAGUAG